AGCUGGAAUCGCUAGUAAUCGCGAAUCAGAAUGUCGCGGUGAAUACGUUCCCGGGUCUUGUACACACCACCCGUCACACCAUGGGAGUCAGCAACGCCCGAAGUCAGUGACCUAACCGAAAGGGAGGAGCUGCCGAAGGCGGGGCCGGUAACUGGGGUGAAGUCGUAACAAGGUAUC
RNAcentral lists this ribosomal RNA (177 nucleotides) under uncultured bacterium. RNAcentral's name for it is "partial 16S ribosomal RNA". It matches the Rfam family "Bacterial small subunit ribosomal RNA", at positions 1324 to 1500 of the family's 1533-position model. The record is from RNAcentral.